UGCUUUAAAUUAUUUACUUAUCUGCGCAUAAUAGCCAAGCAUUUGGAAUGAGGUGAAACUCCUCAACUAUACCCGUAACUGUAAUCAGUUUUACUGUAAGUCAGAUACAAGUGCCUUAAAACUUCAUAUAA
Molecule: unclassified non-coding RNA, 131 nt
Filed under: Pseudoalteromonas sp. 3J6
Lineage: Bacteria; Pseudomonadati; Pseudomonadota; Gammaproteobacteria; Alteromonadales; Pseudoalteromonadaceae
Source: RNAcentral